Molecule: ribosomal RNA, 301 nt
Filed under: uncultured bacterium
Lineage: Bacteria
Description: partial 16S ribosomal RNA
Rfam family: Bacterial small subunit ribosomal RNA
Source: RNAcentral
CAGUCGCCGCGGUAAUACGGAGGGUGCAAGCGUUAUCCGGAUUUAUUGGGUUUAAAGGGUCCGUAGGCUGACUUAUAAGUCAGUGGUGAAAGCCUGUCGCUUAACGAUAGAACUGCCAUUGAUACUGUAAGUCUUGAGUAUAUUUGAGGUAGCUGGAAUAAGUAGUGUAGCGGUGAAAUGCAUAGAUAUUACUUAGAACACCAAUUGCGAAGGCAGGUUACCAAGAUAUAACUGACGCUGAGGGACGAAAGCGUGGGUAGCGAACAGGAUUAGAUACCCCGGUAGUCCCUGUCUCUUAUAA